RNAcentral lists this unclassified non-coding RNA (456 nucleotides) under uncultured Mortierella. Its description in RNAcentral is "sequence contains ITS2". The stretch from base 1 to 154 matches the Rfam family "5.8S ribosomal RNA". Lineage: Eukaryota; Fungi; Mortierellomycota; Mortierellomycetes; Mortierellales; Mortierellaceae. The record is from RNAcentral.
AACUUUUAACAACGGAUCACUUGUCUCUCGCAUCGAUGAAGAACGCAGCGAAAUGCGAUACGUAAUGUGAAUUGCAGAAUUCAGUGAAUCAUCGAAUCUUUGAACGCAUAUUGCUCGCUCUGGUAUUCCGGAGAGCAUGCUUGUUUGAGUAUCAGUAAACACCUCAAAUCCCUCUACUUGUUGGAGGAAUUUGGACUUGAGAAAUCCCAACUUUUGGACAGAGCAGGCGGGUUGCUUGACGUGCAGGAGCAGCUAGAUUCUUUCUUCUGAGAUAUAAGCAUACUUAUUUAACCCCGUGACAAGGAUUAUUAAUUUUGCUGAAGCUAACUCAAAGGUUGAAGAGUCGCUAUGGCUGAAUGAUGCCGGAUUUAACACGUCGAGCCAGCGAUCUGCAAAAUCGAUCUAAAAUCAAGCAAGACCACCCGCUGAACUUAAGCAUAUCAAUAAGCGGAGGCU